AGCAGUAGCCGCGGGAAAACGUAGGUGGUGAGCGUUGUCCGGAAUUAUUGGGCGUAAAGGGAGCGCAGGCGGACAUAUAAGUCCAUCUUAAAAGUGCGGGGCUCAACCCCGUGAGGGGAUGGAAACUGUAUGCCUUGAGUGCAGGAGAGGAAAGCGGAAUUCCCAGUGUAGCGGUGAAAUGCGUAGAUAUUGGGAGGAACACCAGUGGCGAAGGCGGCUUUCUGGACUGUAACUGACACUGAGGCGCGAAAGCGUGGGGAGCAAACAGGAUUAGAUACCCCAGUAGUCCCUGUCUCUUAUACA
RNAcentral lists this ribosomal RNA (303 nucleotides) under uncultured bacterium. RNAcentral's name for it is "partial 16S ribosomal RNA". It matches the Rfam family "Bacterial small subunit ribosomal RNA", at positions 507 to 808 of the family's 1533-position model. The record is from RNAcentral.